This is a long non-coding RNA of Ornithorhynchus anatinus (platypus), 538 nucleotides long. RefSeq lists it as uncharacterized. The record is from RefSeq and is a predicted model, not a curated record. The transcript is spliced from 3 exons. NCBI's taxonomy places the organism in Eukaryota, Metazoa, Chordata, Mammalia, Monotremata, Ornithorhynchidae.
UGGGGAAGAGAGAGGAGAGAUGGAAGGGAGAAGAGACCCCCUUCCAUUCCCUCUCAAAAAGUCAGGCUCCACCUGCUACUGCCAAGCCAACCAGCCAAGCCCGCCAGCAAAAGUUUACUUUUGAAUUUCGAACACGCUCAGGAACCAAGCGCUGCUCAGAAGAGAACAACUCAACCUAUGAACCACCUGUGCCAGUUGGAGGAAGCCGUAAGAUUGGACCGACUACCAUCUGACCUGUCCGGGCCAAGCAGCAGCGCAGUGCCAACGCUAACCUACUCUGCGGCCCGGAUUACCAUUCACGCUGCAGCCAUUUACAGCGUCCUUCUCGAACGCAACCAGAGGGAAAGGAGGAUUUGUCCGUGCCAUCCAACGGCAGACCCAACUGGAAAUCCACGCAACUCCUCGCCCCUGGUAAGCGCUUAACAGUUACCACAGUUAUUACCAUCAUUAACCUGAGAGAACAAACUCCCGUGGCAUCUUCCAACCUCCCCGUUACUGAACUCUGACGAAGCCUGGCCUGGUCCCGGCCUGGGUCGCC